ACUCAAAUGAAUAGACGGGGGCCCGCACAAGAGGCGGAGCAUGUGGCUUAAUUCGACGCAACGCGAAGAACCUUACCAAGGCUUGACAUCGCCGGGACAGCUCCAGAGAUGGGGUCUCCUUUUGGGCCCGGUGACAGGUGGUGCAUGGCUGUCGUCAGCUCGUGUCGUGAGAUGUUGGGUUAAGUCCCGCAACGAGCGCAACCCUUAUUCUGUGUUGCCAGCACGCCCUUCGGGGUGGUGGGGACUCACAGGAGACUGCCGGGGUCAACUCGGAGGAAGGUGGGGACGACGUCAAGUCAUCAUGCCCCUUAUGUCUUGGGCUGCACACGUGCUACAAUGGCCGGUACAAUGAGCUGCGAUGCCGCGAGGCGGAGCGAAUCUCAAAAAGCCGGUCUCAGUUCGGAUUGGGGUCUGCAACUCGACCCCAUGAAGUCGGAGUCUCUAGUAAUCGCAGAUCAGCAUUGCUGCGGUGAAUACGUUCCCGGGCCUUGUACACACCGCCCGU
Molecule: ribosomal RNA, 505 nt
Filed under: uncultured bacterium
Lineage: Bacteria
Description: partial 16S ribosomal RNA
Rfam family: Bacterial small subunit ribosomal RNA
Source: RNAcentral